Molecule: ribosomal RNA, 454 nt
Filed under: uncultured Prevotella sp.
Lineage: Bacteria; Pseudomonadati; Bacteroidota; Bacteroidia; Bacteroidales; Prevotellaceae
Description: bacterial SSU rRNA
Rfam family: Bacterial small subunit ribosomal RNA
Source: RNAcentral
ACGGGAGGCAGCAGUGAGGAAUAUUGGUCAAUGGGCGCGAGCCUGAACCAGCCAAGUAGCGUGAGGGAAGACGGCCCUACGGGUUGUAAACCUCUUUUGCGCGGGAAUAAAGUCAGCCACGUGUGGCUGUUUGCAUGUACCGCGGGAAUAAGGACCGGCUAAUUCCGUGCCAGCAGCCGCGGUAAUACGGAAGGUCCGGGCGUUAUCCGGAUUUAUUGGGUUUAAAGGGAGCGCAGGCCGCCUUUUAAGCGUGUUGUGAAAUGCGGGCGCCCAACGUCCGCACUGCAGCGCGAACUGGAGGGCUUGAGUUUGCGGAAAGAAGGCGGAAUUCGUUGUGUAGCGGUGAAAUGCUUAGAUAUGACGAAGAACUCCGAUUGCGAAGGCAGCCUUCUGCAGCAUUACUGACGCUAAAGCUCGAAAGUGCGGGUAUCGAACAGGAUUAGAUACCCUGGUA